This 71-nucleotide transfer RNA is filed under the name Zenarchopterus dispar (feathered river-garfish). RNAcentral's name for it is "tRNA-Ile". Lineage: Eukaryota; Metazoa; Chordata; Actinopteri; Beloniformes; Zenarchopteridae. The record is from RNAcentral.
GGAACUGUGCCUGAAAUAAAGGACCACUUUGAUAGAGUGUAUCAUGAAAGUUAAACUCUUUCCAGCUCCUU